UACGUAGGGGGCAAGCGUUGUCCGGAUUCAUUGGGCGUAAAGGGUGCGUAGGCGGCGCGGUAAGUCGGGUGUGAAAUUUCGAGGCUUAACUUCGAAACUGCAUUCGAUACUGCCGUGCUAGAGGACUGGAGAGGAGACUGGAAUUUACGGUGUAGAGGUGAAAUUCGUAGAUAUUCGCAAGAACACCAGUGGCGAAGGCGGCUCACUGGCCCGAUACUGACGCUGAGGCACGAAAGCGUGGGGAGCAAACAGG
This 253-nucleotide ribosomal RNA is filed under the name uncultured bacterium. RNAcentral describes it as "partial 16S ribosomal RNA". It matches the Rfam family "Bacterial small subunit ribosomal RNA", at positions 524 to 776 of the family's 1533-position model. The record is from RNAcentral.